Molecule: ribosomal RNA, 465 nt
Filed under: uncultured bacterium
Lineage: Bacteria
Description: partial 16S ribosomal RNA
Rfam family: Bacterial small subunit ribosomal RNA
Source: RNAcentral
GACGAACGCUGGCGGCGUGCUUAACACAUGCAAGUCGAACGGAAAGGCCCUGCUUGCAGGGUACUCGAGUGGCGAACGGGUGAGUAACACGUGGGUGAUCUGCCCUGCACUUCGGGAUAAGCCUGGGAAACUGGGUCUAAUACCGGAUAGGAGCCAUUUUUAGUGUGAUGGUUGGAAAGUUUUUUCGGUGUAGGAUGAGCUCGCGGCCUAUCAGCUUGUUGGUGGGGUAAUGGCCUACCAAGGCGGCGACGGGUAGCCGGCCUGAGAGGGUGGACGGCCACAUUGGGACUGAGAUACGGCCCAGACUCCUACGGGAGGCAUCAGUGGGGAAGAUUGCACAAUGGGCGCAAGCCUGAUGCAGCGACGCCGCGUGGGGGAUGACGGCCUUCGGGUUGUAAACUCCUUUCGCUAGGGACGAAGCUUUUUGUGACGGUACCUAGAUAAGAAGCACCGGCUAACUACGUG